CCCACGAGAGGAUCCCUCACCCGGGUCUCUCCUCAGGGAUGACAUCAUCCGUCCACCUCCUUGUCUUCAAGGACCACCUCCUCUCCAUGCUGAGCUGCUGCCAAGGGGCCUGCUGCCCAUCUACACCUCACGAGGGCACUAGGAGCACGGUUUCCUGGAUCCCACCAACAUACAAAGCAGCCACUCACUGACCCCCAGGACCAGGAUGGCAAAGGAUGAAGAGGACCGGAACUGACCAGCCAGCUGUCCCUCUUACCUAAAGACUUAAACCAAUGCCCUAGUGAGGGGGCAUUGGGCAUUAAGCCCUGACCUUUGCUAUGCUCAUACUUUGACUCUAUGAGUACUUUCCUAUAAGUCUUUGCUUGUGUUCACCUGCUAGCAAACUGGAGUGUUUCCCUCCCCAAGGGGGUGUCAGUCUUUGUCGACUGACUCUGUCAUCACCCUUAUGAUGUCCUGAAUGGAAGGAUCCCUUUGGGAAAUUCUCAGGAGGGGGACCUGGGCCAAGGGCUUGGCCAGCAUCCUGCUGGCAACUCCAAGGCCCUGGGUGGGCUUCUGGAAUGAGCAUGCUACUGAAUCACCAAAGGCACGCCCGACCUCUCUGAAGAUCUUCCUAUCCUUUUCUGGGGGAAUGGGGUCGAUGAGAGCAACCUCCUAGGGUUGUUGUGAGAAUUAAAUGAGAUAAAAGAGGCCUCAGGCAGGAUCUGGCAUAGAGGAGGUGAUCAGCAAAUGUUUGUUGAAAAGGUUUGACAGGUCAGUCCCUUCCCACCCCUCUUGCUUGUCUUACUUGUCUUAUUUAUUCUCCAACAGCACUCCAGGCAGCCCUUGUCCACGGGCUCUCCUUGCAUCAGCCAAGCUUCUUGAAAGGCCUGUCUACACUUGCUGUCUUCCUUCCUCACCUCCAAUUUCCUCUUCAACCCACUGCUUCCUGACUCGCUCUACUCCGUGGAAGCACGCUCACAAAGUUCCUGACCUGGCCAUCCCGGGGUGCCCUUGACCAGCCCCGUGUCUCCUCAGGGUGUCCCAGCACCAGCCUGGCACAGAGUGGGGCUCAGUUAGAGUAUGUGGGAUGUUGGUUUCGCCAGCAGGUUCCCAGUGCCCCCGACAAGCCCCUGCUGGUGUCUCCAUCUCCUGCCAAGCAUCCUCCAGUGCCUCCUCCUGUGGGCCUGGCCUCAGGGCUAUGGACAGACUCCUGUCCCAUCCCAGAGACCCCUCGUGAUCGUGCCCUGGCACGUGGGCCGUGGCCCGGCUGGGUCGGCUGAAGAACUGCGGAUGGAAGCUGCGGAAGAGGCCCUGAUGGGGCCCACCAUCCCGGACCCAAGUCUUCUUCCUGGCGGGCCUCUCGUCUCCUUCCUGGUUUGGGCGGAAGCCAUCACCUGGAUGCCUACGUGGGAAGGGACCUCGAAUGUGGGACCCCAGCCCCUCUCCAGCUCGAAAUCCCUCCACAGCCACGGGGACACCCUGCACCUAUUCCCACGGGACAGGCUGGACCCAGAGACUCUGGACCCGGGGCCUCCCCUUGAGUAGAGACCCGCCCUCUGACUGAUGGACGCCGCUGACCUGGGGUCAGACCCGUGGGCUGGACCCCUGCCCACCCCGCAGGAACCCUGAGGCCUAGGGGAGCUGUUGAGCCUUCAGUGUCUGCAUGUGGGAAGUGGGCUCCUUCACCUACCUCACAGGGCUGUUGUGAGGGGCGCUGUGAUGCGGUUCCAAAGCACAGGGCUUGGCGCAC
RNAcentral lists this long non-coding RNA (1729 nucleotides) under Homo sapiens (human). Its description in RNAcentral is "HSALNT0379181". The stretch from base 449 to 553 matches the Rfam family "Maternally expressed 3 conserved region 2". Lineage: Eukaryota; Metazoa; Chordata; Mammalia; Primates; Hominidae. The record is from RNAcentral.